AGAGCGAACGCUGGCGGCAGGCCUAAUACAUGCAAGUCGAACGGAUCCUUCGGGAUUAGUGGCGGACGGGUGAGUAACACGUGGGAACGUGCCCUUUGGUUCAGAACAACUCAGGGAAACUUGAGCUAAUACUGGAUAAGCCCUUCGGGGGAAAGAUUUAUCGCCAUUGGAGCGGCCCGCGUCUGAUUAGCUAGUUGGUAGGGUAAAGGCCUACCAAGGCUACGAUCAGUAGCUGGUCUGAGAGGAUGAUCAGCCACACUGGGACUGAGACACGGCCCAGACUCCUACGGGAGGCAGCAGUAGGGAAUCUGCGCAAUGGGCGAAAGCCUGACGCAGCCAUGCCGCGUGAAUGAUGAAGGUCUUAGGAUUGUAAAAUUCUUUCAGCGGGGACGAUAAUGACGGUACCCGCAGAAGAAGCCCCGGCUAACUUCGUGCCAGCAGCCGC
Molecule: ribosomal RNA, 445 nt
Filed under: uncultured bacterium
Lineage: Bacteria
Description: SSU rRNA
Rfam family: Bacterial small subunit ribosomal RNA
Source: RNAcentral